RNAcentral lists this ribosomal RNA (476 nucleotides) under Selenomonas sputigena. RNAcentral's name for it is "bacterial SSU rRNA". It matches the Rfam family "Bacterial small subunit ribosomal RNA", at positions 28 to 480 of the family's 1533-position model. The record is from RNAcentral. Lineage: Bacteria; Bacillati; Bacillota; Negativicutes; Selenomonadales; Selenomonadaceae.
GACGAACGCUGGCGGCGUGCUUAACACAUGCAAGUCGAACGGGAACCUUUAUUUCGGUAAAGGUGAGAGUGGCAAACGGGUGAGUAACACGUAGGCAACCUGCCGACAGGAUGGGGACAACAUUCCGAAAGGAAUGCUAAUACCGAAUGGAGUCCGAGGAUGGCAUCAUCCACGGAUAAAAGAUGGCCUCUUAACAAUGCUGUCGCCUGUCGAUGGGCCUGCGUCUGAUUAGCCAGUUGGCGGGGUAACGGCCCACCAAAGCGACGAUCAGUAGCCGGUCUGAGAGGAUGAACGGCCACAUUGGGACUGAGACACGGCCCAGACUCCUACGGGAGGCAGCAGUGGGGAAUCUUCCACAAUGGGCGAAAGCCUGAUGGAGCAACGCCGCGUGAGUGAAGAAGGUCUUCGGAUCGUAAAGCUCUGUUGCACGGGACGAAAACCGAGCUUGAAAAUAUUGAGCUUGGGUGACGGUACCG